CCUGACUUAGGACAAACGCUGGCGGCGUGCCUAACACAUGCAAGUCGAACGGAGAUUUAGGCAAGUUUACUAUCUAAAAUCUUAGUGGCGGACGGGUGAGUAACGCGUGGGUAACCUACCCAUAAAGCCGGGACAACCCUUGGAAACGAGGGCUAAUACCGGAUAAUCUUAUAACUUGGCAUCAAGAGAUAAGGAAAGGUGGCCUCUGAAAAUGCUACCGAUUAUGGAUGGACCCGCGUCUGAUUAGCUGGUUGGUGGGGUAAAGGCCUACCAAGGCGACGAUCAGUAGCCGGCCUGAGAGGGUGAACGGCCACACUGGGACUGAGACACGGCCCAGACUCCUACGGGAGGCAGCAGUGGGGAAUCUUCCGCAAUGGACGAAAGUCUGACGGAGCAACGCCCGCGUGUAUGAUGAAGGUUUUCGGAUUGUAAAGUACUGUCUUUGGGGAAGAACGGUGUACUUGAGAAUAUUGAGUACAAGUGACGGUACCCAAGGAGGAAGCCCCGGCUAACUACGUGCCAGCCGCCGC
Molecule: ribosomal RNA, 530 nt
Filed under: uncultured bacterium
Lineage: Bacteria
Description: bacterial SSU rRNA
Rfam family: Bacterial small subunit ribosomal RNA
Source: RNAcentral